GUUUAUAGUAACUUAAAUUUAAAGUUUGAUAUUGAAGAUAUCAUUAUGGAUUAAAUCCCUUAAACA
This 66-nucleotide transfer RNA is filed under the name Megacopta lobata. RNAcentral describes it as "tRNA-Phe". Lineage: Eukaryota; Metazoa; Arthropoda; Insecta; Hemiptera; Plataspidae. The record is from RNAcentral.